ACCCUGACCGAGCAACGCCGCGUGAGUGGAGAAGGUUUUCGGAUCGUAAAGCUCUGUUGUAAGAGAAGAACGGGUGUGAGAGUGGAAAGUUCACACUGUGACGGUAUCUUACCAGAAAGGGACGGCUAACUACGUGCCAGCAGCCGCGGUAAUACGUAGGUCCCGAGCGUUGUCCGGAUUUAUUGGGCGUAAAGCGAGCGCAGGCGGUUAGAUAAGUCUGAAGUUAAAGGCUGUGGCUUAACCAUAGUAUGCUUUGGAAACUGUUUAACUUGAGUGCAGAAGGGGAGAGUGGAAUUCCAUGUGUAGCGGUGAAAUGCGUAGAUAUAUGGAGGAACACCGGUGGCGAAAGCGGCUCUCUGGUCUGUAACUGACGCUGAGGCUCGAAAGCGUGGGGAGCAAACAGGAUUAGAUACCCUGGUAGUCCACGCCGUAACGAUGAGUGCUAGGUGUUAGCCCUUCCGGGGCUAGUGCGCAGCUACGCAUAAGCACUCGCCUGGGAGUACGACGCAGGUUGAACUCA
This 520-nucleotide ribosomal RNA is filed under the name Streptococcus sanguinis. RNAcentral describes it as "bacterial SSU rRNA". It matches the Rfam family "Bacterial small subunit ribosomal RNA", at positions 380 to 903 of the family's 1533-position model. Lineage: Bacteria; Bacillati; Bacillota; Bacilli; Lactobacillales; Streptococcaceae. The record is from RNAcentral.